UUGCUUGCUGGUGCAGCACCAUCAAGAUUCACGUAGAAAUAUGGAGCAAAAAUUAAGAUGAAAUCUGCCCUAUUAAUUUGAUAUGAGAAUCUUGAUGAUGCUGCAUUAGCAAAUGA
Molecule: microRNA precursor, 116 nt
Organism: Nicotiana attenuata
Lineage: Eukaryota; Viridiplantae; Streptophyta; Magnoliopsida; Solanales; Solanaceae
Rfam family: mir-172 microRNA precursor family
About the family: mir-172 has been experimentally verified in Arabidopsis thaliana. This family is thought to target mRNAs coding for APETALA2-like transcription factors.
Source: Rfam